UACGUACCGUCCAAACGUUAUUCGGAAUCACUGGGCUUAAAGAGUUCGUAGGCGGCCCAGAAAGUUGGGUGUGAAAUCCCUCGGCUUAACCGAGGAAUUGCGCUCAAAACUACUGGGCUAGAGGGAGAUAGAGGUGAGCGGAACUGAUGGUGGAGCGGUGAAAUGCGUUGAUAUCAUCAGGAACACCGGAGGCGAAGGCGGCUCACUGGGUCUCUCCUGACGCUGAGGAACGAAAGCUAGGGGAGCGAACGGG
RNAcentral lists this ribosomal RNA (253 nucleotides) under uncultured bacterium. Its description in RNAcentral is "partial 16S ribosomal RNA". It matches the Rfam family "Bacterial small subunit ribosomal RNA", at positions 524 to 776 of the family's 1533-position model. The record is from RNAcentral.